This is an RNA transcript of Triticum aestivum (bread wheat), 3320 nucleotides long. It is a transcript of the gene named protein FAR1-RELATED SEQUENCE 5, with no coding region annotated. NCBI's taxonomy places the organism in Eukaryota, Viridiplantae, Streptophyta, Magnoliopsida, Poales, Poaceae. The transcript has 6 exons. The record is from RefSeq and is a predicted model, not a curated record.
ACCGGGUCCAGGCAACGCCAGCGCCGCUUUCCUUAGACCCGUUCCACCAUCUCGGCCGUACACCGCACGACCAACCCCCGCCCCCGUCGCUGGGCUCCGGCGAGGCCCGCCGGCGGUCGCCCGUGAGCUCCGCAGCUAGGCUUCUCCUCUCCGCCAUCCCGCAGCAUCUCCUCUUCCUCUCACGAGCUAUCUCGCGCGUGCUCAAGCUCCAACCCGACCCCGCUGUGCCCUAGCGCUGCCGCCGUGCGCCGUAGCUUAGCGUGACCGCCUCCGCCGACGCAUCCGCCUCUCACGCGCGUCGCCGAGAUUGCCUCUUGCGCUAUACCUCGCGGCGUCCCUGCUAUCUCCGCCCCGUCCGCAGCCUCGCACAUUUGGUUUUGAGAUCCGGUCCCUGAUGCUGUUCACAUGAAGGCUGGUGGAACUGCUUGAGUAGAAAUGGAUAGCAUACCGGGCUCUCAAGAGGAAUUGCUUCGAAUGAGGAAAAAUGGUGAGGUAGGAAAGAAGGGGGAAGACCAUCGAAAUGCCUUGAGCCGCAAGGAGGCGACCGAGGAGCUUAUCGGUUGCAUGGUCCACAGCGAGGAAGAGGCAUACAAGCUGUACUGCGACUAUGGACAUCGAAUCGGUUUUAGUGUCCGGAAGGGCAAGCAGUCCUACUUCAUUGGUACCAGGGACAUCCGGACAAAAGAUUACUAUUGCUCAAAGGAAGGGCUUAAGUACGACGAGCCUGUCACAGAAGCGAAUUUCAACCGGCCAGACACAAGAACGAAUUGCAAGGCGAUGGUCCGCUUUAGAGUCGAUGAGAAAGGGCGUUGGACCGUCAUACGCUUUGUUCCCCUGCACAAUCACCAGUUGGCUAAACCUGGGGAGAGGCAUCUGUUGAGAUCCGCAAAGUCAUUUGCUGUUGGAAAAUCAGGUGUUAUAGAUCCAGCAGAAUCUGCUGAAUCACAUGCAGGGAAUGGUUCCUCUGAUAGGACCGUGGGUGAUAUUAGUGAGCCUCCAGGCUACACUACAAGGGAUUGCUACAAUCAUGACAACGUGCAGAAUAUAACGCUAAUUGGGGCAGGAGACAGCCAAAGCCUUGUAAGCUACUUCAAGCGUAGAACCAACGAGGAAGGAAUGUUCUAUUGGGAUGUCCAAGUUGAUCAAGAAGGCCGCAUGACUAACUUCUUCUUCAGGGAUGGUAAAAGUAGAAGUGAUUAUGACUGCUUUGGAGAUGCUGUUAUAUUUGACACAACCUACCGCACAAAUAAAUAUAGCCUGAUAUGUGCCCCUUUUGUUGGAGUUAACCACCAUUGGCACAAUGUUGUUUUUGGAUUCGCAUUCCUGUUAGAUGACUCCACAGCUUCCUAUGUUUGGCUAUUUAAAUCAUUUUUGGAGUCAAUGGGUGGCCGAUCACCAAAAUCGAUUUUCACUGACCAGGAUGAGGCUAUUAUGCAGGCAGCCGAGCAGGUGUUUCCUAACACGCAGCAUUGCUUCUCCUACUGGCAUAUUCUGAAGAAUGCACAGUCUCAUUUAGGCACUGUAAAUACUUCUCAAGCAUUUCAAAAUAUGUUUAUGAAGUGCAUGCAAGGAUGUGACACAGAAAUGGAGCUUCAGGAAUCUUGGGAUGCUAUGCUUGAUGAAUACAAACUACAGGAUAAUGAUUGGCUUAAUGGCCUUUAUAAGUUUCAUAACAGAUGGUGCUCGGUAUUUAACAAAGAUACUUUUGAUGGUGGGAUCAAUUCAUCCCAGUGGGGAGAAGUCUCAAACAAUAUCCUCACUGGAGUUGCUGAUGAAUCUACUUCUAUAACAAGAUUUGCUCUCUUGCUGGAAAAGGUUGUGAAAACACUACGUAGAAAUGAGUCAGAAGAGGAUUUUCGCUGCAGCCAAACUGCUCCAGUUCGUGCAAUCAAGCACAGUACAGUUCUGAAGCAGGCUGCGGAAUCUUAUACACAUAGGAUGUACAAGUUAUUUGAGGCUGAAUUUCUGGAUGGAUGUGGAGCAACUUCAUGUCAUGAAAAUUCCUGUGGUGGAAGCUUAUUGAGGUUUGAAAUAACAAUGCAGGGCAGGGGUUCAAAAAUGUGGACUGUUCUUCUUGAUACAUCCACAAUGGAAAUCUCUUGUGGUUGCGGAAAGUUUGAAAGGAUGGGCCUUCUUUGUUCUCAUGCUCUGAAAGCCUUCAGCCUGCAGAAUGUGGAUAUGGUUCCUGAAAAGUACAUCUUGAAACGAUGGACGAAAGAUGCCAGGAGAAGCAUGUAUAAUCUCAGUCAAGAAGAUUCAACACAACAAGAAUGUACCGAGGCUGAACUUGCGUAUCGCAAUCGCGCAAUGCAGUAUGCGUAUAACCUUGCAUUGAAGAGCCAGGAACUGGAAGAAGCAAGAAAGAUAUUCUGGGACUCCCUUGAAACAGGAGAGAAGGCACUUGAAGUGUUCUUCGAAAUGAGAAAUCUGCACGCUCAAUCUGCCAAAGACGCCAGUACAAGGGAGAAGAAGAAGAAGAAAAUACCUAAAGGACCAAGCACCAGUAAAAAAAGCAAAGCAAGCCCUGGCAUCUUCCUCGGCUGCUCCAGUACUAACCGCCCAAACUAGUGAGCAGCAGUUUCAAUCUGCACAAGAUGCAAAUGGUAAUGCAACCAUUGGAAGAUCAUAUUACUAUCAGGUUUUUCCAACUCCUAUGCAACCAAACCAGAUCUUCAUGCAUCCGAAUACAAUGCCUGUUUGUGCACCACAGGAUUUGUCAGCAUAUGCUGCGGUGCGUCCUAAUUCAAAUUUCGGCGGCGCGAAGAACAUCUAAAGGACACAAGGGUCUGCUAGAUGUGUUUCUUUACAAUUUUUUGUUGGAGAUGGCUACUGCCAAGUACCCAGCCCUGCAAGUACCAACCGCCGGGCGUGGAUCUUUUGUCGAACCGUUACAGAGGGAUCAUGGUUCCAGCGAUGCUGCUCUUGAGAGGAGUGGCUAUUCUGUCCUGUGCCAUUUCUUUUCUACCGAGGGUGGAGUCUAGGAUUAAUUAGGCAUCCCAUUUGCGGUGUGACCUUUUGGGCGUAGGCAAUUAUAGCAUGUAAGUUGUAAUUGUACAUGAGUAGCCAUUAAUUAGCUAUUAACAGGACCGCUGGAUGGAGUCCAGGAACCCUUGGCCGAGAAACGCAAUAUGGUGUAAUUUUCAACAAGAGCAAAAUUGCUCUUCAUUUCUUGCUCGAGUUGGAGCAGGAGGAAUGCGAGGCCUCGGCAAUCUCUGCAAGCUGACCUUGAGUGCUUUGUGUUGUUACCAAAUUGUUCUAGACCAUGAUUAACAUGAUUAAGAUUCUCAGGCUGGUUCUAUAUUUGAUGGACGGCGCUUGCA